CCCACGGCUCACGCCGUGGGCUAUUCUCUGUCGCCGCUCCGCGGCU
This 46-nucleotide small RNA is filed under the name Acidobacteriia bacterium SbA2. RNAcentral's name for it is "Solibacteres bacterium SbA2 Acido-Lenti-1". It matches the Rfam family "Acido-Lenti-1 RNA". Lineage: Bacteria; Pseudomonadati; Acidobacteriota; Terriglobia. The record is from RNAcentral.